Molecule: long non-coding RNA, 1431 nt
Filed under: Mus spicilegus (steppe mouse)
Lineage: Eukaryota; Metazoa; Chordata; Mammalia; Rodentia; Muridae
Description: lncRNA (ENSMSIG00000018716.1)
Source: RNAcentral
UUGUCAGGAUAUAGUAUAGCUGGAGAGUACCCUAUUCUGAGAAGACUAAUCAAAUCCUUCUUUGCCAACUGCCUAUCUGAAGAGAUACAGGUUGUCUGCAAGCAAUUCUUCAGCCAAAAUAACGGACAGAAACAAAGUGAGUCAGAAAACAUGAAAAUGGAGUUCACUUCCAUCCAAUCAACUUUAACAAUGCUCUGUCUGAUGGGAAGGAAAGACACAGAGAGAUUUAUUGCCAGUCAUCAUGGAGCGGCCAUGCCUAGAGUCUCCCCAGUCAUCAGGUGCAGUCCACAUCACUUAACUGUGUCAGCUUCAUGAAUGGCAAGGUCACUUUGUCCCCUGAUUUGGUCCUACCAAAUUCAAAACCCAGUUCCAGGGCUGUGCUGGCUGACUAGUGUACCCUCUAGCACCUGGACGCUGUGGCACCCGUGACUGAUGCCCACCAUUUAGAAGCAUGCUCCCAAUUCCAGUCCUUCCUGCCCUCAGACCUGACAGGUGAAGGGAAUCAGUGUUUGCUUGGACCCUCUCAGUGAUUACGCACUCUUUUUUACCUGCUUGGGCAUCUUCUGAAAGGAAGGGGUGGCUCUCCCUCCCCCACACACACCUUACCUCUGUGCUUUACUUACCAGUUUAAAAAUCAUGAUGUGACCAGAGGGAGGGAUGACCCAGUGUGCAGAGAUCUGAAACCAGAUGGAACAACCAAAGGAGAGGAUCUGGCUCCCCACAGAGCUGGAGGCAGAAGAACGUGUUGAAGGAGGAAGUCAGCAGGAGACAGUUCUCUAACUUUCACUGUGUAAUGUGAAGAUUCCCACCAUGAAAAUUCAUCUUCAUAUCCUUUAGGGUCUAACCUCAAAACAGAAAAGCAUUCUGAAUAUUCCUAACAGAGCUCAAAGCAGGCUCGUUGUCCCUGAUAGAAGGAACACACUGAGCCCUGUCAAGAAGCCCCAAGCCCUAGCUUGGGAUUUCCAUGACAGGUAGUCCAGAGACAAGGUCACCUGAUAGAAGCUGGGACAUUGUUGGGCCUGUCUAGUAGGGAUGGGACCACUGAGGAGAGGCUGGUGUUAGAGACAGAUGUCCCUUCCUUUUCUCCAGGACUCUACCAAUUCCUGUCAUUGUGGACAAUCCAGGUUUAAAACUGGGAACACCAAGGCUUGAGAAACUUCAGCUGGGAGUUCGUACCCAGUCUUUAGAACUGGAGCAAAACUGGAGGAGGGCAAGUCAUGUGGCCCAGGGAAGCAGCCAAAGUAAAACAAUACAUGUUUCAGUUAGGGCAUGCUUGCAAACCUUACCUUAAGUCAUAGAUUCUUGUGCCUGAUCAUAAAGAUUGAGUUUGGAUUCAAGAUGUGUGUAGCCAUUAGAGGCUCUUCGCACUGGUAAACAAAACGGAAGACCCUUUGGAAUAAAGCUGUUGAUAUUCAGUGUAUUAGUAAGCUA